AUUGAACGCUGGCGGCAUGCUUUACACAUGCAAGUCGAACGGCAGCGGGGAGGAGCUUGCUUCUCUGCCGGCGAGUGGCGAACGGGUGAGUAAUACAUCGGAACGUGUCGAGAAGAGGGGGAUAACCACCCGAAAGGGUGGCUAAUACCGCAUAAAUUCUGAGGAAGAAAGCUGGGGACCUAGGAAUAGGCCUAGCGCUUUUUGAGCGGCCGAUGUCGGAUUAGCUAGUUGGUGAGGUAAAGGCUCACCAAGGCGAAGAUCUGUAGCGGGUCUGAGAGGAUGAUCCGCCACACUGGGACUGAGACAAGGCCCAGACUCCUACGGGAGGCAGCAGUGGGGAAUCUUGGACAAUGGGGGCAACCCUGAUCCAGCCAUGCCGCGUGUAUGAAGAAGGCCUUAGGGUUGUAAAGUACUUUUGUUAGGGAAGAAAAGUCAGCUGUGAAUAAUGGCUGAUACUGACGGUACCUAAAGAAUAAGCACCGGCUAACUACGUG
This 494-nucleotide ribosomal RNA is filed under the name uncultured bacterium. RNAcentral's name for it is "partial 16S ribosomal RNA". It matches the Rfam family "Bacterial small subunit ribosomal RNA", at positions 30 to 507 of the family's 1533-position model. The record is from RNAcentral.